This 440-nucleotide ribosomal RNA is filed under the name uncultured bacterium. Its description in RNAcentral is "partial 16S ribosomal RNA". It matches the Rfam family "Bacterial small subunit ribosomal RNA", at positions 338 to 795 of the family's 1533-position model. The record is from RNAcentral.
CCUACGGGUGGCAGCAGUGGGGAAUAUUGCACAAUGGGGGAAACCCUGAUGCAGCGACGCCGCGUGAGUGAAGAAGUAUUUCGGUAUGUAAAGCUCUAUCAGCAGGGAAGAAGUUGACGGUACCGGAGUAAGAAGCCCCGGCUAACUACGUGCCAGCAGCCGCGGUAAUACGUAGGGGGCAAGCGUUAUCCGGAUUUACUGGGUGUAAAGGGAGCGUAGACGGCAGUGCAAGUCUGAAGUGAAAGCCCCGGGCUUAACCCGGGAACUGCUUUGGAAACUGUACGGCUGGAGUGCAGGAGAGGUAAGUGGAAUUCCUGGUGUAGCGGUGAAAUGCGUAGAUAUUAGGAGGAACACCAGUGGCGAAGGCGGCUUACUGGACUGUAAAUGACGCUGAGGCUCGAAAGCGUGGGGAGCAAACAGGAUUAGAUACCCGAGUAGUC